CACUACCUCGAUCUCCAAAACAUCAAUGCUAGAAGAAAACAAUCUGCAAACUGCUACUCAGUCCAAUAUCAGCACGAGGUGCAGAAAAACAAGGAAAAGAACAGAGAAGCAAGGGUGAGUAUGACAUCACAUGUACUCAGCAAGCACCGUCGAUAACCGACCCUAAUCCAAAGCGAUGGCGAGAACCAACACCCCAACUACCCAAGGUUACCCCUACAAUCUAUACAAUCUAUAUCCCGCAGUUACAUCAUUUCUUCCUCUCAGGUAACCCAACACAG
This 278-nucleotide long non-coding RNA is filed under the name Capsicum annuum. RNAcentral describes it as "long non-coding RNA (CANN_LNC021209)". The record is from RNAcentral. Lineage: Eukaryota; Viridiplantae; Streptophyta; Magnoliopsida; Solanales; Solanaceae.